ACUCAAAGGAAUAGACGGGGACCCACACAAGCAGUGGAUCACGUGGUUUAAUUCGACAAUAAACGGGAAACCUUACCCAGACUUGACAUCUACCGAAUCUUUUAGAAAUAAGAGAGUGCCUUUAUUGGAGCGGUAAGACAGGUGCUGCAUGGUUGUCGUCAGCUCGUGCCUUGAGGUGUUCGGUUAAGUCCGUUAACGAGCGCAACCCAUGUCGUUAGUUAUUAUGUCUAACGAGACUGCCUUGGUUAACAAGGAGGAAGGUGUGGAUGACGUCAAAUCAGCAUGGCUUUUACGUCUGGGGCUACACACAUGAUACAAUGGUAUGUACAAAGAGCAGCAAUAUGGCGACAUUGAGCUAAUCUUGAAAGCAUAUCUCAGUCCGGAUUGAAGUCUGAAACUCGACUUUAUGAAGUUGGAAUUGCUAGUAAUCGUGAAUCAGAUAUGUCACGGUGAAUAUGUUCCUGGGUCUUGUACACACCGCCCGU
This 485-nucleotide ribosomal RNA is filed under the name uncultured bacterium. RNAcentral describes it as "partial 16S ribosomal RNA". It matches the Rfam family "Bacterial small subunit ribosomal RNA", at positions 899 to 1397 of the family's 1533-position model. The record is from RNAcentral.